Molecule: long non-coding RNA, 4580 nt
Organism: Ornithodoros turicata
Lineage: Eukaryota; Metazoa; Arthropoda; Arachnida; Ixodida; Argasidae
Exons: 5
Source: RefSeq, a predicted model, not a curated record
CUAUACUUCUUCUUGCACUGCUUGUAAGACUGUCACUGCCACCACCAAUAUCUGCUGUUGAUUGCUGACACUUGCUUAGUACGCCUGUUGUAACGACUGUUCUGUACGCAACAACACUGUGUUUACUGUGCCGCGUGUACUUGUGCCGCGACCAGUGAAAUAAUGAGCAAAGAGGUAACAAGGAUCUGUGAGGAGUUGAAGCGUGAGAUAAAGCAAGACAUAAAGUUGGCUAGGGAGGGUAUGGAAAGGGAGCUACGCAACGAGUUACGAGAGUUAAAAAAUAGUAUGGACUUCUUCAACAAAAAUUUUGAAGAAUUCAGAAGUAAGAUGGAAGCCUUGUCUGUUGAGAACAGUAACUUACGGUCAGCCAAUGAAGCAUUGCAACGUGAAUGUCAUGGCAUGAAAACGCAACUAAGAGAUCUAAAUCUGAAGAGUAUCCAGCUCGAACAGUACUCCAGAAACAGAAACAUCGAAAUCAAGGGGAUACCUUUCAUACAAGGUGAAUGUAUCCCUGGUAUAUUAAAGAAGCUCGGCGAAGCAGUAGGCGAACCGAUAUGUGAAUCUGACAUUGAUGUCUGUCAUCGAGUCCCUGUAGUGAAAGGGCCUACUCAGAAUAUUGUUGUUCAGUUUUGUCGGAGGGGAAAGCGUGACACUGUCCUCGAAAGAUCAAAGAAAAAGCGUCUAACUUCCUUAGAUCUUGGCUUCGCUGACAGUCAGCCCCUGUACGUCAACGAGCACUUGUGCCCCGAUUUAAAAAAGCUACUGGGGAUGACUGUUGCUGCAAAAAAAGAAAUGAAAUGGAAAUUCGCAUGGGUGAAGCAUGGUAAGAUUUUCGCCCGGCAAGAUGAAUCAUCCCCAAUUGUUAGUAUUCUCAGUCCUGAUGACCUGUCCAAAAUGAAGUAAUUAUAGUUGCUCUCUUUGUAUCUUUUGUGUGUGCAUGGGCUGAUAGUUAUGCCGACUAGGCCAAUUGACUGUCAUUAUUAUUCCGUUGAUGAACUAGAUUGUUUCACUAAAAAUGCAUUUUCUGUUCUUCAUUUAAACGUUCGUAGCCUUCGAAGACAUCAUGAUGAUCUAGGCAAUAUGCUGUUAAGCUCCAAAUUGGCAUUUUCGGUUAUCGGAGUCACUGAGACAUGGCUAAAUGAGGCUGAAACAUCCCUUUAUCAGAUACCCGGUUAUUGCUCUGAGUUUGUUUGUCGCAAAGAAAGCCCACAUGGCGGUGCUGGUGUGUUCAUUUCUAGUGAUUUGUUGUACAUUCCGAGAAGAGAUUUAUAUAUUGCCAAUGAGAAAUAGUACAGAGGGCAUGGAGGAAAAUGAACUGCUAGCUGUAGUGCGUCCUCAAGCUGAAGCUUCAGGUCAUCCAAAGAAGCUGGAAUAUACCGGGACAUAUGCACCAGAUCUCUGCUCAGGGACUAUACAACAUCACACUGGGUGAAGAUUAAUCCUUCGAUGCAUACAUAGGCUAGGUGCAUGAUGCACCCCACAGAGGUUCUUUUCACAUUUGACAGGUCCUUUGACUCAAACAGAUACAAUCUCCUGGUCAAACACUGCACAGCUUAUGGUACACUCAGUAUCUUGCUACCUCAUCUGUUCCAUCCUGUGCCGCACAAGCAACGGUUGUGACUCGAGAAAAAAAUGAAGAGCCGCAUUCACAACAUCUCGACUGCAUCUGGAGUUACGAUGAUGGCUUCCUCUUGUGUUAACACUUCCCUUCGAAUGUGCUGGCUGCAUGGUAAUUCAGAGAAGUCUGCUUCAUCAGCAUGUGAGGACCUCACCACAGCAGUCACUGCUUCCUCUUCAAUCCUGUUAAGUAUUGAUGCCCGUGCCCCUCGUGUCUGCUGAUACGUUAUGAGCAGCAAACCAACCUUGUUCUGGUGGCAACUCCUUCCGGCUUGCUUUGCCCUUUACUCUCCACAUCGUCUUCAUCAAGCACAAGAAAUGCUGCAGACCGUCUGUUGGAUGCUGGCUUGGCUUCACACUCAAGGCUCCGAAGAUCCCCUUCGGAACCUUUCGUUCGAGACAGAGCCUCAAGCAAGACCCUGACUUUCUGGUGCGUCAAACUUGCAAAAAGGUCAUAAUGGUAUGCCCUACAUCCAGUUUGCUGAGACAAAAUUGUCAGGCCUCUACUCGCACAGUCUAGUGCCGCAGAGUAACUCUUGCACGCAAGAUGCACCUCUGACAUGUGAAGCAAGAUUCUUGCAUGAAUUCCAAGAAGUUUUCCCCAACCUCCAAUGCUUUGAGAGAUCUUUGGUGACAGUGGCAUCAAGUGGAGCUUCAAGAAGGAGAGGACAUCGACACACUCCUUCUUCAGUUUGUCACACAGUGCAUCGUGGAAUGUAACUUGAGACCCCAGUGCUGUCAGAGCCACCGAGAUGUCGCCAACAGUGAAGUAGAGGAUACAUCGAAGUAAGUUCCUCUCCAGACGCAUCUCCAUCACAUGGAAGCAGCGGCACAGGUGACACGAACACUCUUGAUCGUGAGCAGACUCAAGUUUGCACGAGGAUGGCACAGAAGGCGUUUCUCGAGACUUGUUCCUUGCCAAGAACUGGCUCGCAGCCAUACGAUGGCUCAUAACUGAUGGGGAAGACAGCUGCAACGGACAGUCAGCGGUAUCUUCACUGGAUGGCUGGAAGGCUAGCCGACUGAAUGUUCCCGCUCGAAGUAGAAGCUCUAUGCCGUUCAAUUUCACCUUUACAUCGUGUAAUUUUUCACAAAGAAGGUCCAUUUGGGUGAUAAGCAGAAUCAGUCGCCCACAGCUGCAAAAACACUUUUAUGAUGUAGUAUAAUUCAUCAUUUAACUAAGCAAGCUUGAAGCAAUACAAGGUGGUAGACUUGAAUUAGACAAACUAGUAACAAAGCAAUGUUACAAUGGUAAAAAGCAAACAACUUUCUGGGACAUAGCAUGCUACUCGAACCUCAAACAGAGGCUUUGCACAGCAGAAGUGCUGAAAAAAUAUGAAAUAAGAAAGAUAAGUCAGCAUAAGGAGAAAGAUGAGGAAGAGUUUUGACACAACACAACAGCUAACUUCACUCAUACUGACUGACUUUCAUGUUGUAGUAACAAUAAGAAUUUGUAAUUCGUACCUUGUAGAGGAAACAAGCUGCUGAGCUCGCUGCAAAUACUCCUUCAGAAAGCAGUACGCUUCUCUUGCUGCACCAAUGUUAGUGUACAAGUACCCAAGCAUGGCCGCAGAGUCCAGUAACAGUCUUUCUAACACAAACUUUGUGUGCAGGUCCUCUGUAACACAGAUUUAUCACAAAAGCUUGAGCUCUAGGCAGCAAGAUAUAUUGAGGUCAAGCAUUUCCAGUGACAGAACUGUGUUUAAGACUGGGUUUUCUCCUUAGCAAAGAUUGUUUUAGAUGCUCCGGCCUUAAUGACAAUGGAUAAUGUCAUAAAAUGUUCCUAUGAUUUGUUCCACAAUGAAAUGUGGGCAUCGGCUACAGAAUGCAGUAAUAAUCCUAUUUGAAUUCCUUCUAUUCAGCAUAAGACAAAAUACACAUCCUGUGCAUAUUCUAGAUGCCCUCAAGCACUUCUCAAUUAACACCUUUUUGCCAUCGACUGUCCAACCCACAUGUAAACUUAACAGCUAUAAUUAGAAACAAUCAUCAUAGACCUGACAUGUCUGAGAAUGGCAUUGCAUACAGAUGCUCUUCCCCUGUGCUUCGCACCAGGCAGACAUGUCGACAGUAUUUUCACAAGGCUAUUCAUACAAAAGAGAUCUGCUGUAAGGCAGUAGGUGCAGUUCCUGGUGUACACAGUGCUGCUAUUACGUUACAGUUGUACUGCGAGGAAGUGUAGACAAAUAAAUUGCAGCUAAAGUGAAUGAAAGAUAACUCACGAGGGUCUCCCUGCUUUCCUUCAGCAAGGUGCCGCAGUACACUUUGUGCUAACUUGAGUGCGUCUUGGGCUAGGUUAAUAGGCGUGUCACUCGGCUCUAUUGUAUGCUGCGUUACAGAUGCUGGUGGCAACAUUGCGAACCGACAUGCAAGGAGUUUUGCAUCUGCCAUAAACAUGUGGCAGGACUUUGUUUUCUUUUGCAGAACAGGGUGAGUGAGAAGCUUCCUCACAAGUUCUUGACCUUCUGAAAACUGAUAUUUAGCUAGAGUGAGUACAAAAAAGUACAAUAGAUUAAAAAAGAAAGAAAGAAGGAAACCUUAGCUGGUGGCAAUCAAAGCUUAAUAUUGCAACAGUGGGGCUCUAUAUACUAACAUGAUUGACAAAGAGCAUCAAUGCCACAAACCCAUCAAAAAAUCAAGCAGGAGAAGGUAACAUUCGCAGUAGGUGCACAAUUUCAUCAUCCCGAACUCAAUGUUGCGUACAUGUAGGGUUCUUCGUUUUCGGGUUAAACCCGAAUUUUCACGAUAGUUCCUCCCCAAACAAAUUUUCAAGAAUUCGGGUAAAACCUGACAGCUACCCGAAAUCCUUGCAUUCCUUCAACUUGUCUUUCUAGGUAAACCGUCGGAAAAGUGAAUAAUAAUAUCAGCAAAGAGAGCUAUUUGUGGAGCUCGGACAAGUGUUUGAAUACUGCGGUCAUUCACUGCUCCAGUUCAGAGCGGAAAUAAAGACUCUUCCCAUUGUGUCA